This 104-nucleotide small RNA is filed under the name Flavobacterium sp. 5. RNAcentral's name for it is "Flavo-1 RNA". It matches the Rfam family "Flavo-1 RNA". The record is from RNAcentral. Lineage: Bacteria; Pseudomonadati; Bacteroidota; Flavobacteriia; Flavobacteriales; Flavobacteriaceae.
UUGUGUGAAGGAUAGAAACGGCAUCCUUUUUCGUCUUUUUUGAAUGUUGUUUUUUUAGAUAAUUGUUUCUGACGAAAAAGAUAUAGUGGAUAGCCUGACCUUGU